This 342-nucleotide long non-coding RNA is filed under the name Homo sapiens (human). RNAcentral's name for it is "HSALNT0372058". The record is from RNAcentral. Lineage: Eukaryota; Metazoa; Chordata; Mammalia; Primates; Hominidae.
GGCCAGGCGUGGUGGCUCACGCCUGUAAUCCCAGCACUUUGGGAGGCCGAGCCGGGCGGAUCACGAGGUCAGGAGAUCGAGACCAUCCUGGCUAACACGAGACAGGGUUUCGCCGUGUUGGCUGGGCUGGUCUCGAACUCCUGACCUCAAGUGAUCUGUCCUGGCCUCCCAAAGUGUUGGGAUUACAGGCGAAAGCCACCGUGAAGCCCAGCUAAUUUUUUUGUAUUUUUAGUAGAGACGGGGUUUCACCAUGUUAGCCAGGAUGGUCUCAAUCUCCUGACCUCGUGAUCCGCUCGCCUUGGCCUCCCAAAGCGCUGGGAUUAUGGUCGUGAGCCACUGCGC